This 315-nucleotide RNase P RNA is filed under the name Candidatus Methanofishera endochildressiae. RNAcentral's name for it is "partial RNase P RNA component class A". It matches the Rfam family "Bacterial RNase P class A". From Rfam's summary of the family: Ribonuclease P (RNase P) is a ubiquitous endoribonuclease, found in archaea, bacteria and eukarya as well as chloroplasts and mitochondria. Its best characterised activity is the generation of mature 5'-ends of tRNAs by cleaving the 5'-leader elements of precursor-tRNAs. Lineage: Bacteria; Pseudomonadati; Pseudomonadota; Gammaproteobacteria. The record is from RNAcentral.
AAAAAAAAGGGUUGGGGUUAGGGGUAGGGCUCCAGAUAACAUCUGGGAGGCAUAAGCCUACGGAAAGUGCAGCAGAAAAUAAACCGCCAGCCCUUGAAAACGUUUCGGGGCUGGUAAGUAAAUGGUGCGGUAAGAGCGCACCGCGUGACUGGUAACAGGAGCGGCAUGGUAAACCCUACCUGGAGCAAGAUCAAAUAGAGGAGCAGACGCGCGGCCCGCGCGGCUCCUGGGUAGAUCGCUUGAGCCAUAAGGUGACUUAUGGCCUAGAUGAAUGACUGUCCAAGACAAAACCCGGCUUAUCGACCAACUCUAACU